GGCUUAUGUUGUAUCUGCGGGCUAAUGCUGCAGAAGGUUUUAAUGGUGGUUAUUACUAUAAUGGCCGUGGCAUGAUGAUGACCAAAGCUACCAGUGUCUCCAAACUUCAAAGUAAAGAUAAUCUAUUGUCAAUGUCCUCUAUAUCAUACAAGUGCCUCGGGUGACAUCAUCUAUAUCGCAGCCCUGAAAACGCUGAACAUCUAGAGAAACCGCAUGAUAUAUGUGAUCCAUAUAGUAACCCUCAAGCACAAGAGUUGGUCCAAAUUCUUCCUCAUCCAGGAUGGUCGGUCCACGGUUAUCCCGAUAAGCAAGGAGAUGAUUGGAUUGGGGAUCCCAUGACUUGGGAGCUCGAUGACUUGGAAGUAAAGACGUCUUUACUUCUACCAGUCCCGGGAAAUAAAUCAGUAAAGCGAGUGUGGACAUCCAUCAGUGUUGGUACAGAAAUAUAUGUUAGCAAUAGACAAGAAGAGUGACUUUGAUGUUUUUGUUCCAAUACAAACAAUCCUCGUGAACAUGGAGGUUGUAGCAACACUCGUCGCUUUUGCUUUCUUUGUUUUUUUUUUAUUCUCACAAGCGAAAGCUCAUGUGCCUCGAUUACACAUGAUGUCUUCUUUUUGUUUAAUUUUUUGAACCUGAUACACAAAAAUAUAUGAAAAGGAAUCAUUUUCUU
Camelina sativa (false flax) is the source of this 670-nucleotide long non-coding RNA. RefSeq lists it as uncharacterized. The record is from RefSeq and is a predicted model, not a curated record. Lineage: Eukaryota; Viridiplantae; Streptophyta; Magnoliopsida; Brassicales; Brassicaceae.